RNAcentral lists this ribosomal RNA (476 nucleotides) under uncultured organism. RNAcentral describes it as "partial 16S ribosomal RNA". It matches the Rfam family "Bacterial small subunit ribosomal RNA", at positions 334 to 801 of the family's 1533-position model. The record is from RNAcentral.
CACUCCUGCGGGAGGCAGCAGUGGGGAAUAUUGCACAAUGGGCGCAAGCCUGAUGCAGCCAUGCCGCGUGUAUGAAGAAGGCCUUCGGGUUGUAAAGUACUUUCAGCGGGGAGGAAGGCAAUACGGUUAAUAACCGUGUUGAUUGACGUUACCCGCAGAAGAAGCACCGGCUAACUCCGUGCCAGCAGCCGCGGUAAUACGGAGGGUGCAAGCGUUAAUCGGAAUUACUGGGCGUAAAGCGCACGCAGGCGGUCUGUCAAGUCGGAUGUGAAAUCCCCGGGCUCAACCUGGGAACUGCAUUCGAAACUGGCAGGCUUGAGUCUUGUAGAGGGGGGUAGAAUUCCAGGUGUAGCGGUGAAAUGCGUAGAGAUCUGGAGGAAUACCGGUGGCGAAGGCGGCCCCCUGGACAAAGACUGACGCUCAGGUGCGAAAGCGUGGGGAGCAAACAGGAUUAGAAACCCUUGUAGUCCCAUGAU